This is a small nuclear RNA of Myodes glareolus (Bank vole), 107 nucleotides long. Lineage: Eukaryota; Metazoa; Chordata; Mammalia; Rodentia; Cricetidae. The record is from RefSeq and is a predicted model, not a curated record.
CUACUGCGGCCAGCAGUGGAUGCACUCAAAUCGGAAGGAAACAGAAAAGACAAGUACGGCCCCUGGGCAAGCAUGACACGUGACUGUGUGAAGCCUUCCGUGUUUGU